AUGAGGAGGAAUACGGCUUUCUGCAAGAGACACACUAUCUGUACUCAUGGCAUGCUUGGAGCUUCCAAGCCCUUGCACGGAGCUCUGCAGGGAGCUCUUCUUUCUGCUCAAGUUAUGCAUGAUGCACUUAGCUAUACAUUUGGAUUGUGCAGUCUUUACCUUGUGGACUGUAUCUGGGCCAUACUUACAGUUGUUCAUAUAUUCUUUUUGUGUUGCGGUCACCUCAGAGCUGUCCUUACUGUCUGUCCCCAGAGCUGGAUGUCAUGUCUGCUCUGUCAGGUAUUGCUAAUUGUUCAGAACUCAGCAAUGGAAGAGGUGGGCAGCUCUCUGUCUUCUGUCUGCCUGCAAACAUUGCAUAGGCACUCCCUCAGACAAGAACUGGAUGUGAGAGCGUUCUUGAACUCCUGCUGCCCCAUCAGUAGUGGGCAUUCUAGCCAAGAACAAAUCUAGUGCAGCUCCUGGGACAGCAAGUGAGGAUAUCCCACUGCUCCGUGCAGAUCAGGGCAGCUGAAACCUACUCACCUGCCCUUCUGGAAACAUGUGAGAUGGCUAAUGAGGUGCAGAUCCCUGGUGGUUUUGCAUGCUUUAAUAUGGAAUUUUAUGCUUGCUUUUCUCUUACUGGUCAGAAACCUAUGAAAUUACAGCUCUGCUUCUCUGAACAGGGCAGGUAUGGUGGGAGGACCUCCCAUGUUUGGGUCUUGCCACAUGGGAGAGGACUGCAGAAAUGCAUAUGGAAAUACGUUCCCUCUUUGUGGCUUGGCACUGAUGUAUUUAACAGGGGGAUCCUCUGCUCCUUCAACUGUCCCAGAACCCUAUUACCACAGUCUGUGGAAAGGGGCUGACUGCUACACAUGCCUUGUGGGAAGCCCAGGCACUGUACAGGAGGUGGGGUGGGAAUGAGUAGAGGGGCUGUGAGUGUAGGUGAGUGUGAUGCACCUGCUUACAAGAGGAUACUGCAGAAUUUGGAUGCACCUGUGAGGAAAAAAGGUAGUGGUCUGUGUGUGUAUGAUGCUAUUUAAGAGCGAAGAGAAUAAUUCUGCUUUUCUGCAGAAGUGAGAAGAAGGUUGUCUGCACACAGAACUUAAAUGUUCAAAAUGUAAUUUGCAAUGUGCUGGGGACUCACAAGGGUCAGGAGGAGCAAGUAUGCAAGCCUCUAACUCAUACAUGUCCUAGAGUCAGGAAGGAGUAAUCUAAAAGCAUCUUAAUGAGGGAGGCAGCACUCGCAAGAAUGCUGCAGCCCAGCUCCUGCUGCCUAGCUUUGCUACCAGUGUGGAUAUUUCCCUGCAAAGACCAAAAGGCCUCGUGCUGUCAGAUUAUGCCUGAGGACUUGUGCACAACACUGAUGCCAUCCAAAGUUAGGUGGAGCGCUCCCUUUGCACCCAUGGGUUUGUUGGUCAAGAGCAGCAGCACCCCUCUAUUCAAGCAGAGCAUGGCAUCAGGCAGAAUCAGG
Molecule: long non-coding RNA, 1450 nt
Filed under: Cyanistes caeruleus (blue tit)
Lineage: Eukaryota; Metazoa; Chordata; Aves; Passeriformes; Paridae
Description: lncRNA (ENSCCEG00000018822.1)
Source: RNAcentral